UACGUAAGGGGCAAGCGUUAUCCGGAAUUAUUGGGCGUAAAGCGUCCGUAGGUGGUUAUGCAAGUCUGUCAUUAAAUACCGACACUCAAUAUCGGAAUAGUGAUGGAAACUGUGUAACUAGAGGAUGGGAGAGGUAUAUGGAAUUGUGCAAGUAGGGGUAAAAUCCGUAGAUAUGCACAGGAACACCAAAAGCGAAGGCAAUAUACUGGACCAUUACUGACACUCAGGGACGAAAGCGUGGGGAGCAAAACGG
This 253-nucleotide ribosomal RNA is filed under the name uncultured bacterium. RNAcentral's name for it is "partial 16S ribosomal RNA". It matches the Rfam family "Bacterial small subunit ribosomal RNA", at positions 524 to 776 of the family's 1533-position model. The record is from RNAcentral.